GCUCUCCUCUCCUGCUAAGCUUUGUUUCCUGGCAGUAAUUAAAACCUUCUGCCACUGCCAUAGCUACUGCUGCUGCUGGAACCGCCAUAGCCACCUUGGUUUCGUGGUUUGGCAAAGUAUUGGCCUCCACCACCAUAGGGGCCAGAGCUUCUGCCUCCAAAAUGUCCUCCUUUCAUGGGUCCAAAAUUUGAAGAUUGAUUGUAAUUGCCAAAAUCAUUAUAGCUUCCACCACCUCCAAAGUUGCUUCCAUCGUUACCAAAUCCGUUAUAGCCAUCCCCUCUGCCACCAUAUCCACCACCACCUCGACUGCCGCCAAAGCCACCUCGCCCACUGAAGUUUCCUCCACGGCCAAAGUUGUCAUUCCCACCAAAACCACCUCCACGACCACCACCGAAGUUCCCAGAACCACUUCGACCUCUGGCUGGAAGAAGCACUAGCCAUCUCUUGCUUAGAUAAAGCUUUCCUUACUUCACAGUUGUGUCCGUUCACAGUAUGGUAUUUUUGAAUGACAAUCUUGUCUACAGAGUCAUGGUCGUCAAAGGUCACAAAAGCAAAGCCUCUCUUUUUGCCACUGCCUCGGUCAGUCAUGAUUUCAAUCACUUCAGUUUUCCCAUACUGUUCAAAAUAAUCUCUUAGAUGAUGUUCUUCAGUGUCUUCUUUAAUGCCACGGACAAAAAUCUUUUUCACAGUUAAGUGGGCACCAGGUCUUUGAGAAUCUUCUCUCAAGACAGCCCUUUUUGGUUCCACAACUCUUCCAUCCACCUUGUGUGGCCUUGCAUUCAUGGCUGCAUCCACGUCUUCCACAGUGGCAUAGGUGACAAACCCAAAGCCUCUGGAGCGCUUGGUGUUUGGAUCUCUCAUUACCACACAGUCCUGAAGCGUUCCCCAUUGCUCAAAAUGGCUCCUCAGACUCUCACCGGUUGUUUCAAAGCUCAAACCUCCAAUGAAAAGCUUCCGCAGCUGUUCAGGCUCUUUGGGAGACUCUGACUUAGACAUGACAGCGGUGGGAGGGGAGACUUUCACGAUGCUUACUCGGCGGCUUCCAUGGGCAGAAAG
This 1056-nucleotide long non-coding RNA is filed under the name Lynx pardinus (Iberian lynx). Lineage: Eukaryota; Metazoa; Chordata; Mammalia; Carnivora; Felidae. The record is from RNAcentral.